AGCGAACGCUGGCGGCAGGCUUAACACAUGCAAGUCGAGCGGGCAUCCUUGUGGUGUCAGCGGCAGACGGGUGAGUAACGCGUGGGAACGUGCCCUUCGGUUCGGAAUAACUCAGGGAAACUUGAGCUAAUACCGGAUACGUGCGAGAGCAGAAAGGUUUAUCUGCCGAAGGAUCGGCCCGCGUCUGAUUAGCUAGUUGGUGAGGUUAUGGCUCACCAAGGCGACGAUCAGUAGCUGGUCUGAGAGGAUGAUCAGCCACACUGGGACUGAGACACGGCCCAGACUCCUACGGGAGGCAGCAGUGGGGAAUAUUGGACAAUGGGGGCAACCCUGAUCCAGCCAUGCCGCGUGAGUGAUGACGGCCUUAGGGUUGUAAAGCUCUUUUCUUCGGGACGAUAAUGACGAUACCGGAGGAAUAAGCCCCGGCUAACUUCGUG
This 437-nucleotide ribosomal RNA is filed under the name uncultured bacterium. Its description in RNAcentral is "partial 16S ribosomal RNA". It matches the Rfam family "Bacterial small subunit ribosomal RNA", at positions 29 to 507 of the family's 1533-position model. The record is from RNAcentral.